AGAGUUUGAUCCUGGCUCAGAUUGAUUGCUGGCGGCAGGCCUAACACAUGCAAGUCGAGCGGUAGAGAGGAGCUUGCUCCUCUUGAGAGCGGCGGACGGGUGAGUAAUGCCUAGGAAUCUGCCUGGUAGUGGGGGAUAACGUUCGGAAACGGACGCUAAUACCGCAUACGUCCUACGGGAGAAAGCAGGGGACCUUCGGGCCUUGCGCUAUCAGAUGAGCCUAGGUCGGAUUAGCUAGUUGGUGAGGUAAUGGCUCACCAAGGCGACGAUCCGUAACUGGUCUGAGAGGAUGAUCAGUCACACUGGAACUGAGACACGGUCCAGACUCCUACGGGAGGCAGCAGUGGGGAAUAUUGGACAAUGGGCGAAAGCCUGAUCCAGCCAUGCCGCGUGUGUGAAGAAGGUCUUCGGAUUGUAAAGCACUUUAAGUUGGGAGGAAGGGCAGUAAAUUAAUACUUUGCUGUUUUGACGUUACCGACAGAAUAAGCACCGGCUAACUCUGUGCCAGCAGCCGCGGUAAUACAGAGGGUGCAAGCGUUAAUCGGAAUUACUGGGCGUAAAGCGCGCGUAGGUGGUUUGUUAAGUUGGAUGUGAAAUCCCCGGGCUCAACCUGGGAACUGCAUUCAAAACUGACUGACUAGAGUAUGGUAGAGGGUGGUGGAAUUUCCUGUGUAGCGGUGAAAUGCGUAGAUAUAGGAAGGAACACCAGUGGCGAAGGCGACCACCUGGACUAAUACUGACACUGAGGUGCGAAAGCGGGGGGAGCAAACAGGAUUAGAUACCCUGGUAGUCCACGCCGUAAACGAUGUCAACUAGCCGUUGGAAGCCUUGAGCUUUUAGUGGCGCAGCUAACGCAUUAAGUUGACCGCCUGGGGAGUACGGCCGCAAGGUUAAAACUCAAAUGAAUUGACGGGGGCCCGCACAAGCGGUGGAGCAUGUGGUUUAAUUCGAAGCAACGCGAAGAACCUUACCAGGCCUUGACAUCCAAUGAACUUUCUAGAGAUAGAUUGGUGCCUUCGGGAACAUUGAGACAGGUGCUGCAUGGCUGUCGUCAGCUCGUGUCGUGAGAUGUUGGGUUAAGUCCCGUAACGAGCGCAACCCUUGUCCUUAGUUACCAGCACGUCAUGGUGGGCACUCUAAGGAGACUGCCGGUGACAAACCGGAGGAAGGUGGGGAUGACGUCAAGUCAUCAUGGCCCUUACGGCCUGGGCUACACACGUGCUACAAUGGUCGGUACAGAGGGUUGCCAAGCCGCGAGGUGGAGCUAAUCCCACAAAACCGAUCGUAGUCCGGAUCGCAGUCUGCAACUCGACUGCGUGAAGUCGGAAUCGCUAGUAAUCGCGAAUCAGAAUGUCGCGGUGAAUACGUUCCCGGGCCUUGCACUAACCGCCCGUC
This 1395-nucleotide ribosomal RNA is filed under the name uncultured bacterium. RNAcentral's name for it is "bacterial SSU rRNA". It matches the Rfam family "Bacterial small subunit ribosomal RNA". The record is from RNAcentral.